UUAACACAUGCAAGUCGAACGAUGAAACGGAACGGAAAUUUUCGGAUGGAAGUUCUGUGGAUUAGUGGCGGACGGGUGAGUAAUGCAUGAAGAACCUGCCUUUCACAUAGGAAUAGCCUCGGGAAACCGGGAUUAAUACCAAAUGACACUCCGAGAUCGCAUGUUUUUGGGGUUAAAGAUUUUAUCGGUGAAAGAUGGCUUCAUGUCCCAUUAGCUGGUUGGUGAGGUAACGGCUCACCAAGGCGACGAUGGGUAGCCGGCCUGAGAGGGUGAACGGCCACAUUGGAACUGAGACACGGUCCAAACUCCUACGGGAGGCAGCAGUGGGGAAUAUUGCACAAUGGAGGAAACUCUGAUGCAGCGACGCCGCGUGAGCGAUGAAGGUCUUCGGAUCGUAAAGCUCUGUCCUAAGGGACGAUAAGGACGNACCUAGGAGAG
RNAcentral lists this ribosomal RNA (438 nucleotides) under Tissierella sp. canine oral taxon 029. Its description in RNAcentral is "bacterial SSU rRNA". It matches the Rfam family "Bacterial small subunit ribosomal RNA", at positions 48 to 465 of the family's 1533-position model. The record is from RNAcentral. Lineage: Bacteria; Bacillati; Bacillota; Tissierellia; Tissierellales; Tissierellaceae.